GACGGAGGAGGCAAGCGUUAUCCGGAAUUAUUGGGCGUAAAGCGUCCGUAGGUGGUUAUUGAAGUCUUUAGUUAAAGGUUAGAGCUUAACUCUAAAUAGGCUAAGGAAACUGAGUAACUAGAGUGCGGUAGGGGUAGAGGGAAUUCCUGGUGUAGCGGUGAAAUGCGUAGAUAUCGCUUGGAACGCCGAAGGUGAAAACAGGCUGCUGGGGUUGCGCCGACGCUGAGACACGAAAGCCAGGGGAGCAAACGGG
RNAcentral lists this ribosomal RNA (253 nucleotides) under uncultured bacterium. Its description in RNAcentral is "partial 16S ribosomal RNA". It matches the Rfam family "Bacterial small subunit ribosomal RNA", at positions 524 to 776 of the family's 1533-position model. The record is from RNAcentral.